GGAGGGUUAGUCCUAACUGGCAAGGCAGCGGACUUGAAAUCCGCCGGGUGAAUAACCCAUGGGGGUUCGAAUCCCUCACCCUCCG
This 85-nucleotide transfer RNA is filed under the name Candidatus Zixiibacteriota bacterium. RNAcentral's name for it is "candidate division Zixibacteria bacterium (sediment metagenome) tRNA-Ser". It matches the Rfam family "tRNA". From Rfam's summary of the family: Transfer RNA (tRNA) molecules are approximately 80 nucleotides in length. Their secondary structure includes four short double-helical elements and three loops (D, anti-codon, and T loops). Further hydrogen bonds mediate the characteristic L-shaped molecular structure. tRNAs have two regions of fundamental functional importance: the anti-codon, which is responsible for specific mRNA codon recognition, and the 3' end, to which the tRNAs corresponding amino acid is attached (by aminoacyl-tRNA synthetases). tRNAs cope with the degeneracy of the genetic code in two manners: having more than one tRNA (with a specific anti-codon) for a particular amino acid; and 'wobble' base-pairing, i.e. permitting non-standard base-pairing at the 3rd anti-codon position. The record is from RNAcentral. Lineage: Bacteria; Pseudomonadati; Candidatus Zixiibacteriota.